Molecule: non-coding RNA, 458 nt
Organism: Heterocephalus glaber (naked mole-rat)
Lineage: Eukaryota; Metazoa; Chordata; Mammalia; Rodentia; Bathyergidae
Source: RefSeq, a predicted model, not a curated record
GGAUGAACACAGGAAAGGAAACAAGGAGAUCAGUUCAGGGAGCAGAACUCCAGUGCCCUCAGAACUCCAUCCAGGGUGCCUGCUUCAUUGUUCUGAGCUUCUCUAAUAGCGUAGAAUCUUUCCUGUGCGAGCCCGAAGGUUAUCAGCCCAGGCAGAAAGGGAGGGUGACAGGAUGAGGAAGACGCUGGAGAAAUGUCAGAGAGCCUGGGGACACUACGCCUGGACAAGAGUGAGCUGGACCUCCUCCACGGCACCACAAGGCUCCCUGGUUUGGGCUUUCACUUGGAUUUGGCCAAGGGGAGACACACGCAGGACACCGGAAUGCAGGAGACUGAGUCCACCGAUGGCGAAUAUGGACACAGUCACAGACCAGAGCAGAGUCAGAGUAUCCGGGUCUAUUGGAUGUCCAUGCCUUCUUUGCCAUGAUUCAUUGUAAAAGGCCUUGAUGUACUGGAAAU